RNAcentral lists this long non-coding RNA (4759 nucleotides) under Panax ginseng (ginseng). RNAcentral's name for it is "long non-coding RNA (PGIN_LNC009726)". The record is from RNAcentral. Lineage: Eukaryota; Viridiplantae; Streptophyta; Magnoliopsida; Apiales; Araliaceae.
AGGUUUUAUAACUAGGCACCACAAAUUUUCAAUAUUUUUCCUUUUCAUCAAUCUACAUAACCAAAGAAUAAAAAAGAAAUUAAAACAAAAAGAGAGAGUCGGCCAAACAUCAUAUUGCAAGCAAUACAACAAAAUGAAAACUAGAUUCAUGGUCAUCACCAUCUUCAAACCCUCAAUCUUUGGAGAAAACUCAUACAAAACAUCAUAGUCCCCCCAUCUAAAGUUUCAUAGUCCGCCGAACCUCAGAUCUCACAAGCUUGCAUCAUCUUAUCUCUCCUUCUCUUUGGUGGAAGUUGUGAAGCGGUGGUGCGGCGGUUGCCAAAAGUGGUGCAGCACUGGGCGGAGGUGAGACGGUGUUAGGGCGAUAAUCUAGCAGCAAGGAGGUUUCGUUUUACUUUCUUCAUAUCUAGGUUUAGUUUUUCAAAUCUGAGUUUACUUUUAGAUCUAAGUUUACUUUCUUCAUGGGUUUUUGAAUUUUGUAGUCUUAGGACUAAAGUUAUUUAUGAUUUGAGAUGUAAUACGAAAACCUGAAAAUAAUUUGGUGAACGUGGGUGUAUUCCACCUUUGGUUGGGAUGCUAGAUGAUAAGGUUGUGGAGGAGAAAGAAGCAGAUGUCAAGACGUUAUCUAUGAUUAUGGAUUAUCUGAGAAUUGAAUGAUUUUUAGAAAGGAAGAGAGAGGAAUAGUGAGUUAUUAAUUUAUUUUUCUUGUAUUUUGGUUAGUAAUAAUUUAUUUUCUUAUAUUUAAUUUCUCAUUUAAUUCUUCUUCUCUCUCUUUAAUUUGUAUUUUUUUAUCAUUUAUUCUUAUUCUUUUUUUUUUUGUAUUUUUAUGUUUUUAUACGGAAAAAAUGUAUAAAAUAUGAAACGUUAUUAUUAUUUUAUCACAAAUAUACUGUCAACCCAUAUUUUACUACGAUCAACACAUAUUUUUGACAUCAUGAAACCUGACACAAUAUUUAUUUCGGUCAAUUUCCGCCGGAAAUUCAAUUUGGGAUGAAUAUUAUAUGCAAAUUUUAUGCAGUGAUUUGUAAGUCUAAUUACUUUUAAGAACCAAAUUAGGAGAAGGGUGAAACUUGGUGUAAGAGAAUAUAUAUAUAUAUAUAUAUAUAUAGCAAAGUUCAAAAACAUAAGACUUAAACAACAUAAGUUCUUAAAGAGUAUAACUAUUUAAACCUUUCCUGUUUUUUCUAAAAACCCAAAACCUUCCGUGUUUUUUUAGAAAAUCCAAAAUUGUGCCCUAUCUUCUCUCUUCUCUCAUAACUUCUCUAUUCUCAACAAAUCGAAAUCGCGUCUACACUGAGAAGGAAAAAGCAGAGCCAUCUUGUUUAAAUCGAAAUUGUGCCCUAGCUGCUCUCUUCUCUCCAAAUCGACCGCUUCACUCCAAAUCCUUGCUAGGUAAACCCAAAUCUCGUUGUGGAUGUGUUCAUGUAUGUGUAUAUAUGUAAUAGAUUCUUUUUCUUUUUCCUUCUAAUUUUUCUGUGAUGCCCUAUUGAGUAUAUGUUUGAAAGAUAUCCAAAAAGAGAUCCCCUGCCAUUGUUGUUCUUCACCCCUCUCGCUCUCUUCUUUCUAUCUCUCUUAAAAAACAGAAAUAUUACCAAACCCAGAGAGUUUAGAGGCUUAAAACGAGAGAAAAGAUCUUUAUUCAAUAUAUACUACUACUACUACUUAGUUAGUGCGGAGCUGUGAUCGUGUGGAUAAUAUAUAUAUAGAGGAGUCCAUAUAUUGCGGACUUCCAACUACCUCAAACUAGCCAAUUUGGUCAAUGAGUAUGAAUGGCUUAUCAACACAAUUAUAUAAAAUAUAUUUAUUAAUUGGAAAUUGAUGUAUUUGUUAAUUGGAAAAUUAAUGUAUUUUAUGACAAAAAUAUUACUCAUGGACUCAUUAAUAGAUUAUUCAUAUAUGUGUAUUUUUUUAUAUUUAAAUUAUAAACAUGUAAAAUUAGUUUAUCAUAUAAAUAAUAAUUAUAUAAUAUGUUACUAUAAUUUAAAUUUUUCGAAUUUACUUACAAUUAGAUAGAUAAUGUAAGAUGCUAGUUAUACAUAUCAUUAUAUGUGGAUGUGUUCAUGUAUGUGUAUCAUAUAAAUAAUAAUUAUAUAAUAUGUUACUAUAAUUUAAAAUUUUCGAAUUUACUUACAAUUAGAUAGAUAAUGUAAGAUGCUAGUUAUACAUAUCAUUAUAUGUGGAUGUGUUCAUGUAUGUGUAUGUAAUAGAUUUUUUUUCUUUUUCUUUCAAAUUUUUCUGUGAUGCCCUGUUAAGUAUAUGUUUGGAAGAUUAUAAAACUUGAAUAGUCUCUGGCUCUUCCUGAAUAGUCCAAAAGUUUUAGUUUCCAUCUUUGAUUUAGUUUUGAAUUACAUUAUGAUUUAUUUGAACAUUGAAUGUAUGUGGAAUAUUGGACCAGUACUACUAAAAUGGGAAAUGUCAGUGGAGUUAUGAAGAAAAUUUUCUUAAAGGGACCAUGGUUAUGGUAGUGGGUUUUGUACCUACAUCUAUAUAUUUGCACCAAGUGAUUAUCAUGAUGAUGGAGGUAUUCGUGUUCAUGCUUCUGAAUAUCUAAAGCAGUUCCCCUCUCUUAUUUUAUCUGUCAUUGCUAAUUAAGUUCAUAUCAUUUGUUUGUGGUGGAUUUGCUGCUAUUUUGAUCAUCAUAGCAUUUCUGGAGGAGUCCCUACUGGAAGGCCAUGUAAUGUAUUUCCUUUAAAAUGUCUUUGUUAGUUCCCGGAGGCACAAUAGUUAUCUAGAAAUGGGGGGAGGGUUGAAUAGAUAUUUAAAAAUCUUUUCGUUUUAACUUGUUAAUUGAUAAUGAUUAAAACUUAGCGGAAUUAAUAUUUGUUUUAAUCUCCCUUAAGAUGGUGAGUUUACGAGAGUGAGGCAGUUAUAGCAGUUAUGGCAGAUAUGACAGUUAUAGCAAAAAUGUAAUAGACACGGUCGUUUUAAGUGGUUCAGAGCACUUAAAGCUCCUAGUCCACUCUUCUACUCCUUGAGUAGGAAAUCCACUAAGGAUGUCUUUUACACUUUCUGAAUCACACAGAUUCCUUCUAGACCAACAGUCUAGGAACUUCUUAGUUCAUUUUUGAACUCUUCAAGUCCAGCAGACUUGGCUCUUCACAGUUCACUUAGAACUCUUCAAGUCCUUCUGACUUGGAACUCUUACUUCAGUUGAUUGGUAGUUGUUGAGUUCUUGAACCGCUACUCAGUUGCUGUUAAGCACUUGUUCGAAAGAACUAAGUAGCUGAGCAAGCUUUUCUUUUUUUCAGAUCGUAGAGUUGAGCGUUGAGAGUUCUUGUACGUUUUGUUCAAUGCUUGCUUGCCUCUUUCAUCCGCAUAUCUUUUGCAUAUAUGUGAUCUUGAAAUCUUUCCGUUUGAUCCAUCCAUUGAAGCAUUAAAUGCGUUUGACAUUUCUGUACUUUGAUAGAGACUUUUCUACACAUCUUCUGAAUUGCAUUCUGGCCCACUGACACAGCAGACUGCUUUCUCACCUAACACCUGAAAAGGUGUUUUUCUCUUACCAAUGGUACUUUCCUUAGCUUCUUCAAUACGCUUCUUUGUUGCAUACUAAGGAUGUCUUUUGUACCGUUGGAACUGGUGGGGACUUCAACGUUUGAAACCCAUUCUAUAUUUGUUGGAGAUAUAUCUUCAAACAAAAAGGUAGGGCUCGAUACUUCUGACACACGGCUGAUGAUACUCUACGAUCCAGAUCGUGGUGUCUUGUUAUUUUGGUGCUUGGUCUGAUUCCAUCAAACAAGAGCACUACGAUUUUUCUUAAUGACUUACACACUACGAUCUUCACUUGCUAACUUUGUAAGCUCUACGUUUCCGAGAGCACACUACGAUCUCUGAGUUGGCUCGGUAAACGUUGGUACCACUCUACGACUUCAAAAGAGGCCCUUAAGGCAGGCACACUACGAUCCUCGAAGCUCUACGUUCUGCCUUGGCUUCUGUAAUCUUGAUCAGCUUGAUACACUACGAUCUCUUCGAAGCCUAUCUAUUACAUCUCAAGAUCAACCUAACAGCUUUGAUCUCUUUAUUUAUACAUUUAUUUACAGAAUGAUACACAUUAAGAACUUAGAUCAACCUAACAAAUUUGAUCUAUCACUAAGUCCUUGUACAUAUAUUCCUUGAAGGACUUUACAAAUAAUCAUGAGCAUUUAUAUUUAAACAUCAAAUCAAAAUAUGCACUCUCCCAAUAAUCUGUCCCUAUUUGAUGUUGACAUAACCAAGAAGAUUUGUUGUCAUGAUUAUUAGUUUCUAGAUGCAAUUGCAGGAAAGUAAACAUGACUUAGUAUUUCAGUGAGCAGCUGAAAUUUCUAGAGAAUAAGCAUGAAUUUAUUGAUGUUCGAAGAAUUUUACAAUUUAGCUUUACAUCAAUAAGAAUUAAAACUUCACUUAUCUCUAUUUCCUUGAUCUUUUGCGAGGAGGAUUGGCAUACUCCUCAGCUCUUCUUUUCCUGCUUGCUUCAUUCCACCUGGCUAGAUCUUCCAGCUCACUAGGGCUUAGCCUAGGAUUUUGAUCAUGUCUAUUCAUGAAUGCAGGAUCUCCAGUUGGCAUUCGCUAAGGCCUGUGGUGGUGACAUUUUGUGAGUUAGUAGCUGGCCCUAUACUCCUUAUUGGCUGAGCUAUUAAAAUUUCUAGCUGAUCAAGUCGUUGAGUCUGAUGGCUGGAUCGUGGAGUCUGUUGGUGAAAUUUUGCAAAUUGAUGUGGAGGAGAUGAAGAGUUAUCAUGAAAAACACCAAAGUUGAUACAUUGUUCUUCAGAUUUUAUCUAAAAAG